This 387-nucleotide ribosomal RNA is filed under the name uncultured Glomus. Its description in RNAcentral is "SSU rRNA". It matches the Rfam family "Eukaryotic small subunit ribosomal RNA", at positions 569 to 961 of the family's 1831-position model. Lineage: Eukaryota; Fungi; Glomeromycota; Glomeromycetes; Glomerales; Glomeraceae. The record is from RNAcentral.
CGCAGCCGCGGUAAUUCCAGCUCCAAUAGCGUAUAUUAAAGUUGUUGCAGUUAAAAAGCUCGUAGUUGAAUUUCGAGAUCAGUACGCUGGUCGUGCCUUUGGUAUGCACUGGUGUCACUGGUUUCUCCCUUCUGAAGAACUGUCAUGCCAUUCAGUUGGUGUGGCGGGGAAUCAGGACUGUUACUUUGAAAAAUUAGAGUGUUUAAAGCAGGCUUGCGCUUGAAUACAUUAGCAUGGAAUAAUGAAAUAGGACGUUUGACCCUAUUUUGUUGGUUUCUAGGAUCGACGUGAUGAUUAAUAGGGAUAGUUGGGGGCAUUAGUAUUCAAUUGUCAGAGGUGAAAUUCUUGGAUUUAUUGAAGACUAACUACUGCGAAAGCAUUUGCCAA